UUUAUUUACAUCUAAUGCAAAUAAAAACAAUCCACGCAUAACAAAUAUAAUUAAACUGGUGAUGAUCAUGGAUCUUAGAAGUGGAUUCAGACUUGAGCCACUGAGUCGGAAUCGGGGUCUUAGGGUCAUAAAUUACAAGCACACACACGUCAUUGGUUUGAUUGUCUUCAACUUCUUGAUCCGAUCUGGAACUUCAACUUGAUUUGAUCCUUAUCAACACCUUGAUCCGACCACCAUCAAGUAUUCGUCUCUAUCCGGACCAUGCAAACUUUUAGGCUUGCAACCGAUCAACCAAUGACGUGCAACCAUACAUUAUACAACCCAAUAAAAAGAAUGAAAUAAAAAUUAAUUACAUUUGAUAACUUUUAUCUCUAACCUAUUGAGACACACAAGUCUCCAAAUAAAUCAGCUUGUACACGCAGGCACAAAUAUAGCCAUCACUAAUACAAAAUCCUUAAUUUAAACAAAUUUAAGAUUACAGGAUUCUGCAUACACAUCAUACAUCACAUGUCGAAACGAAAAUAAAUAGGUUGCUAUCCAUGAUCAUCACCGUAUCUCAUACAUCACAUGCAUAAUAAUAAAUUUUGGAUAUUCUAAUUAACCAUUAACCGAUGAUUCGAAAAAAUAAAUUAUUAAAAAUAAUCAAUCUUAUUGAUUAUUAUAAUUUUGAUCAACAAUUUAAUCUACAAAAAUAACAUCUUGAUCUCAUCAAGAAAUCAAUUUGAUCUAAUCAAAUUAGAUCUAUCUAUUCAUUAUCUAAAUCGAUCUAAUAAUAAAAAGAAGAAAAAGAAAAGAAAAAAAAAAUUCAUACUUCCGUACGGACGCUACAGUAGCGUCCGUACGAGCGUCCGUACGGACUGCUACAGUAAACCGUACUGACGCUACAGUAGCGUCCGUACGGAUGCUACAGUAGUUUUUUUUUUUAUUAUUAUUACGAGAAAUCGUCGAUUAAAUUGUUCAAUCAAUUUGAUUUUACGAAUCAUCCAAACAACAAUCUAUAAAUCGUUCGAUCGUCGAAAAACGGUUUAGAAUACCCAAAUUCAUAAUUUUAAUCUUAAAAACAUGAGGAUGGCUCUAAUACCACUGUUAGAAAAUUGCGUACGGUAAAACGCAGCGGAAAAAGAAAUCAAACAAAUUUAAUUUUUGAAAACUUUCGAGAUCCAAUCUUAAAACCACGCAAUUAGGAUCCCUCAUGUUCUUUAAGAUUAAAGAAGAAAAACAAGAUCGAAUAUUUACCUUUUUCGCGGAUAGAUCUUCCCCUCAAUAUGAUGAUCAUGUAAUUCGGUUCUCUUGAAGCCGCACACUCGUUCGGCCUCUAUAGGUAUCCACACGAGGUUCUUGAUUUGAUCGAUGUCCUCACCGGGGUGCUAGCUCCCUUGCAAAAGGACGUCUUUCUUGCUAGAAGAUGGAAGAGAGAAGAGAGGAUAGAUGACGGCUAGGGUUU
RNAcentral lists this long non-coding RNA (1444 nucleotides) under Ananas comosus (pineapple). RNAcentral describes it as "long non-coding RNA (ACOM_LNC041639)". The record is from RNAcentral. Lineage: Eukaryota; Viridiplantae; Streptophyta; Magnoliopsida; Poales; Bromeliaceae.